RNAcentral lists this transfer RNA (72 nucleotides) under Tilletia controversa (dwarf bunt fungus). It matches the Rfam family "tRNA". From Rfam's summary of the family: Transfer RNA (tRNA) molecules are approximately 80 nucleotides in length. Their secondary structure includes four short double-helical elements and three loops (D, anti-codon, and T loops). Lineage: Eukaryota; Fungi; Basidiomycota; Exobasidiomycetes; Tilletiales; Tilletiaceae. The record is from Rfam by way of RNAcentral.
GCGCGCUUAUGUCAGUGGUAGACGACUUGACUUCGAUUCAAGAGGUCGUAGGUUCGAAUCCUGCAGCGCGCU